This 117-nucleotide non-coding RNA is filed under the name Gorilla gorilla gorilla (western lowland gorilla). Lineage: Eukaryota; Metazoa; Chordata; Mammalia; Primates; Hominidae. The record is from Rfam by way of RNAcentral.
GCUGGGCGUGGUGGCUCAUGCCUGCAAUCCCAGCACUUUGGGAGGCCGAGGCGGGAGGAUCACCUGAGGUCAGGAGUUCGAGACCAGCCUGGCCAACAUGGUGAAACCCCGCCUCUA